AACGAACGCUGGCGGCAGGCCUAACACAUGCAAGUCGAGCGAAGCCUUCGGGCUUAGCGGCGGACGGGUGAGUAACGCGUGGGAAUAUGCCCUUUGGUACGGAACAGUCCCGGGAAACUGGGUUUAAUACCGUAUGUGGUCCUUCGUAGUGGAUACGGGGGACGAAAGAUUUAUCGCCAAAGGAUUAGCCCGCGUUGGAUUAGGUAGUUGGUGGGUAACGGCCUACCAAGCCGACGAUCCAUAGCUGGUUUGAGAGGAUGAUCAGCCACACUGGGACUGAGACACGGCCCAGACUCCUACGGGAGGCAGCAGUGGGGAAUCUUAGACAAUGGGGGCAACCCUGAUCUAGCCAUGCCGCGUGAGUGAUGAAGGCCUUAGGGUUGUAAAGCUCUUUCAGCUGGGAAGAUAAUGACGGUACCAGCAGAAGAAGCCCCGGCUAACUCCGUG
Molecule: ribosomal RNA, 447 nt
Filed under: uncultured bacterium
Lineage: Bacteria
Description: bacterial SSU rRNA
Rfam family: Bacterial small subunit ribosomal RNA
Source: RNAcentral